This 589-nucleotide ribosomal RNA is filed under the name uncultured bacterium. RNAcentral describes it as "bacterial SSU rRNA". It matches the Rfam family "Bacterial small subunit ribosomal RNA", at positions 338 to 948 of the family's 1533-position model. The record is from RNAcentral.
CCUACGGGAGGCAGCAGUGGGGAAUAUUGGACAAUGGGCGAAAGCCUGAUCCAGCAAUGCCGCGUGAGUGAUGAAGGCCUUCGGGUCGUAAAGCUCUUUUACCAGGGAUGAUAAUGACAGUACCCGGAGAAUAAGCUCCGGCUAACUCCGUGCCAGCAGCCGCGGUAAUACGGAGGGAGCUAGCGUUGUUCGGAAUUACUGGGCGUAAAGAGUACGUAGGCGGUUAUUCAAGUCAGAGGUGAAAGCCCGGGGCUCAACCCCGGAACUGCCUUUGAAACUAGAUAACUAGAGUCUUGGAGAGGUUAGUGGAAUUCCGAGUGUAGAGGUGAAAUUCGUAGAUAUUCGGAAGAACACCAGUGGCGAAGGCGACUAACUGGACAAGUACUGACGCUGAGGUACGAAAGCGUGGGGAGCAAACAGGAUUAGAUACCCUGGUAGUCCACGCCGUAAACGAUGAUAACUAGUUGUUCGGUCACUUGGUGACUGAGUGACGCAGCUAACGCAUUAAGUUAUCCGCCUGGGGAGUACGGUCGCAAGAUUAAAACCUUAAAGGAAUUGACGGCNGAGANGCGAGACGACACGAGGAGAG